RNAcentral lists this ribosomal RNA (458 nucleotides) under uncultured Caldilineaceae bacterium. Its description in RNAcentral is "bacterial SSU rRNA". It matches the Rfam family "Bacterial small subunit ribosomal RNA", at positions 906 to 1382 of the family's 1533-position model. Lineage: Bacteria; Bacillati; Chloroflexota; Caldilineae; Caldilineales; Caldilineaceae. The record is from RNAcentral.
GGAAUUGACGGGGCCGCACAAGCAGCGGAGCGUGUGGUUAAUUCGAUGCUACACGAAGAACCUUACCUGGAUUUGACAUGCACGUAGUAGUGAACCGAAAGGGGAACGAGCCUUCGGGCAGCGUGCACAGGUGCUGCAUGGCUGUCGUCAGCUCGUGCCGUGAGGUGUUGGGUUAAGUCCCGCAACGAGCGCAACCCUCGUCGCUAGUUACAUGUGUCUAGCGAGACUGCCAGGUUAACCUGGAGGAAGGUGGGAUGACGUCAAGUCAGCAUGGCCUUUAUGUCCAGGGCUACACACACGCUACAAUGGUCGGUACAAUGGGAUGCCAAGCCGCGAGGCGGAGCAAAUCCUCAAAGCCGGCCUCAGUUCGGAUUGGAGGCUGCAACUCGCCUCCAUGAAGUCGGAGUUGCUAGUAACCGCAGGUCAGCUAUACUGCGGUGAAUACGUUCCCGGGCCUU